RNAcentral lists this transfer RNA (76 nucleotides) under Nototriton abscondens. Its description in RNAcentral is "tRNA-Thr". It matches the Rfam family "tRNA". From Rfam's summary of the family: Transfer RNA (tRNA) molecules are approximately 80 nucleotides in length. The record is from RNAcentral. Lineage: Eukaryota; Metazoa; Chordata; Amphibia; Caudata; Plethodontidae.
ACUGAUGAAGUUUAGAAUCAAACAUCGACCUUGUAAGUCGAAAACGGAGGCCCAACACCCCCCACCAGUUCAACUU